UAGCUAGUUGGUGAGGUAACGGCUUACCAAGGCGACGAUCUGUAGCGGGUCUGAGAGGAUGAUCCGCCACACUGGAACUGAGACACGGUCCAGACUCCUACGGGAGGCAGCAGUGGGGAAUUUUGGACAAUGGGGGCAACCCUGAUCCAGCCAUGCCGCGUGAGUGAAGAAGGCCUUCGGGUUGUAAAGCUCUUUCGGCCGGGAAGAAAUCGCAUGGGCCAAUACCCUGUGUGGAUGACGGUACCGGAAUAAGAAGCACCGGCUAACUACGUGCCAGCAGCCGCGGUAAUACGUAGGGUGCGAGCGUUAAUCGGAAUUACUGGGCGUAAAGCGUGCGCAGGCGGUUCUGUAAGACAGGCGUGAAAUCCCCGGGCUCAACCUGGGAACUGCGUUUGUGACUGCAAGGCUAGAGUACGGCAGAGGGGGGUGGAAUUCCACGUGUAGCAGUGAAAUGCGUAGAGAUGUGGAGGAACACCAAUGGCGAAGGCAGCCCCAUGGGUCGAUACUGACGCUCAUGCACGAAAGCGUGGGUAGCAAACAGGAUUAGAUACCCUGGUAGUCCACGCCCUAAACUAUGUCAACUAGGUGUUGGGUGGGUAAAAACCAUUUAGUACCGUAGCUAACGCGUGAAGUUGACCGCCUGGGGAGUACGGCCGCAAGGUUAAAACUCAAAGGAAUUGACGGGGACCCGCACAAGCGGUGGAUGAUGUGGAUUAAUUCGAUGCAACGCGAAAAACCUUACCUACCCUUGACAUGCCAGGAACUUGCCAGAGAUGGCUUGGUGCCCGAAAGGGAGCCUGGACACAGGUGCUGCAUGGCUGUCGUCAGCUCGUGUCGUGAGAUGUUGGGUUAAGUCCCGCAACGAGCGCAACCCUUGUCGUUAAUUGCCAUCAUUUAGUUGGGCACUUUAGCGAGACUGCCGGUGACAAACCGGAGGAAGGUGGGGAUGACGUCAAGUCCUCAUGGCCCUUAUGGGUAGGGCUUCACACGUCAUACAAUGGUCGGUACAGAGGGUCGCCAAGCCGCGAGGUGGAGCCAAUCCCAGAAAGCCGAUCGUAGUCCGGAUUGCAGGCUGCAACUCGCCUGCAUGAAGUCGGAAUCGCUAGUAAUCGUGGAUCAGCAUGUCACGGUGAAUACGUUCCCGGGUCUUGUACACACCGCCCGUCACACCAUGGGAGCGGGUUCCGCCAGAAGUAGGUAGCCUAACCGCAAGGAGGGCGCUUACCACGGCGGGGUUCGUGACUGGGGUGAAGUCGUAACAAGGUAGCCGUAGGGGAACCUGCGGCUG
Molecule: ribosomal RNA, 1288 nt
Filed under: metagenome
Description: bacterial SSU rRNA
Rfam family: Bacterial small subunit ribosomal RNA
Source: RNAcentral